AACACAUGCAAGUCGAGCGAAGCCUUCGGGUUUAGCGGCGGACGGGUGAGUAACGCGUGGGAAUAUGCCCUUUGGUACGGAACAGUCCCGGGAAACUGGGUUUAAUACCGUAUGUGGUCCUUCGUAGUGGAUACGGGGGACGAAAGAUUUAUCGCCAAAGGAUUAGCCCGCGUUGGAUUAGGUAGUUGGUGGGUAACGGCCUACCAAGCCGACGAUCCAUAGCUGGUUUGAGAGGAUGAUCAGCCACACUGGGACUGAGACACGGCCCAGACUCCUACGGGAGGCAGCAGUGGGGAAUCUUAGACAAGUGGGGGCAACCCUGAUCUAGCCAUGCCGCGUGAGUGAUGAAGGCCGUUAGGGUUGUAAAGCUCUUUCAGCUGGGAAGAUAAUGACGGUACCAGCAGAAGAAGCCCCGGCUAACUCCGUG
This 427-nucleotide ribosomal RNA is filed under the name uncultured bacterium. Its description in RNAcentral is "bacterial SSU rRNA". It matches the Rfam family "Bacterial small subunit ribosomal RNA", at positions 50 to 507 of the family's 1533-position model. The record is from RNAcentral.